AUAAGCCUGCCGUGCACGUGAUCCGCACUAGGUUUUGAGCCAACACCCAAACAUAGGGGAUCACUCUCUGUGCGUGAACGCAGUAGGACUCGUUCUGAAGCGAACACGCCAGGUAGAUCACCCACCUGCGAAAGCAGGUUCAAAACGUCGCGGUACACGGCAUGGCGGGAAGGUC
Molecule: non-coding RNA, 175 nt
Filed under: Chloroflexota bacterium
Lineage: Bacteria; Bacillati; Chloroflexota
Description: Chloroflexi bacterium (sediment metagenome) 6S RNA
Rfam family: 6S / SsrS RNA
About the family: E. coli 6S RNA was the first non coding RNA to be sequenced, but its function was unknown until recently. It consists of 184 nucleotides that fold into an extended hairpin structure with a large single-stranded internal bulge.
Source: RNAcentral